UUUGAUCAUGGCUCAGAAUGAACGCUGGCGGCGUGCUUUACACAUGCAAGUCGAGCGAGGCGGGUAGCAAUACCCAGUCGAGCGGCGAACGGGUGAGUAACGCGUGGAUUAUCUACCCUGAGGUGGGGGAUAACCCGGCGAAAGCCGGGCUAAUACCGCAUAACAUCGAAAGAUCAAAGGGGGAGCAAUCUCCCGCCAUUGGAGGAGUCCGCGUCCGAUUAGCUAGUUGGUAGGGUAAUGGCCUACCAAGGCGACGAUCGGUAGCCGGCCUGAGAGGGUGAUCGGCCACACUGGAACUGAGACACGGUCCAGACUCCUACGGGAGGCAGCAGUGGGGAAUUUUGCGCAAUGGGCGAAAGCCUGACGCAGCAACGCCGCGUGGAGGAUGACGGUCCUUGGAUCGUAAACUCCUGUCAGCAGGGAAAAAGGGGACCGGGCUCAUACCCCGGUUCAUUGAUUGUACCUGCAGAGGAAGCCCCGGCUAACUCUGUGCCAGCAGCCGCGGUAAUACAGAGGGGGCAAGCGUUAUUCGGAAUUAUUGGGCGUAAAGGGCGCGUAGGCGGCUCGACAAGUGGAAGGUGAAAUCCCUCGGCUUAACCGAGGAACUGCCCUCCAAACUGUUUUGCUUGAGGCCGGGAGAGGUGAGUGGAAUUCCCAGUGUAGCGGUGAAAUGCGUAGAUAUUGGGAGGAACACCAGUGGCGAAGGCGGC
Molecule: ribosomal RNA, 710 nt
Filed under: uncultured bacterium
Lineage: Bacteria
Description: bacterial SSU rRNA
Rfam family: Bacterial small subunit ribosomal RNA
Source: RNAcentral